AUGCGUCAGCCGCCUGGUUUUGUUGAUCCUGCACGUCCUCAUCAUCUCUGUCGUCUGGUUAAGACGAUGUAUGGACUCAAACAGGCUCCUCGUGCGUGGCAUGCUCGCCUUGGAUCUGUUCUUCGGGCUCUUGGGUUUACUCCCUCCACUACUGACACGUCUCUAUUUCUACUACAGCGUCCUGAGGUUACGAUGUAUCUCCUGGUUUACGUUGAUGACAUCAUUUUCAUCAGUUCCUCCGAUGCUGCUGCUGAUCGUCUUGUGACUGCACUGAGUGGUGAUUUUGCUGUCAAGGAUUUAGGUGCUCUGCAUUUUUCCUUGGUUUGGAGGUUUCACGGUCUUCAGCUGGGUUGA
Molecule: ribosomal RNA, 354 nt
Filed under: Triticum aestivum (bread wheat)
Lineage: Eukaryota; Viridiplantae; Streptophyta; Magnoliopsida; Poales; Poaceae
Description: partial small subunit ribosomal RNA
Source: RNAcentral